CCUGGGACACGGCGUAGACCGCAGCCUCGUGAAAGUGACUCCGGAUUCAUAAAGGCGUGUGGUGGAAAUGCAUCCUCGAUGGCUGUGACAUCACGCUGUGGAUGAGAAUGGCCUUGACAAAAAUGCAGCUUCUGGCAACAUUCAUCAGCUCUGGAGACGCGUCCACGCGGGCCAUCCCACGCGCUCCGGACUCGGGACCGCCCCACCCGCUGAGCCAGCCCGGCCAGCCCAGGAACCGCAGCGGGAGCAGCCCCUGGAGACGAGGCUCCGUGCACCUCCCCCACUGUCCUUGUCUGCCAUUUGCAUCACCCAAACCGCCGACAGAGGCCCCUGUCGCCUCCGGUGACGUCCUCGGAAUCCCCCUUUCCUAUGAAGGGAUUUUCCCCCCCGCUGCCGCUGUCAUUCAGAAUAUCACGCCCUCGGCCUUCUCUUUAGCCUUCAAGUUCAUUUUUCCGAGGAAAAUGAGCACUGGAAUUUUACUAGAUGUUAUGAAGACAAAUUAAUCUGGAGAUACACACAGCAUUUAUCUCAUGCCUGAAAAAGAGCGAGGAGUCAACAGACACUCAUUUUCCUCCUCCUUUGGCAGAAUCUAUUGUUCCUGUAAAACGUGUCCACAAGGGAAAUUGAG
Long non-coding RNA from Talpa occidentalis (Iberian mole), 628 nucleotides. RefSeq lists it as uncharacterized. NCBI's taxonomy places the organism in Eukaryota, Metazoa, Chordata, Mammalia, Eulipotyphla, Talpidae. The record is from RefSeq and is a predicted model, not a curated record. The transcript has 3 exons.